Molecule: ribosomal RNA, 492 nt
Filed under: uncultured bacterium
Lineage: Bacteria
Description: partial 16S ribosomal RNA
Rfam family: Bacterial small subunit ribosomal RNA
Source: RNAcentral
AGUGAACGCUGGCGGUAGGCCUAACACAUGCAAGUCGAACGGCAGCACAGUAAGAGCUUGCUCUUACGGGUGGCGAGUGGCGGACGGGUGAGGAAUACAUCGGAAUCUACUUUUUCGUGGGGGAUAACGUAGGGAAACUUACGCUAAUACCGCAUACGACCUACGGGUGAAAGCAGGGGAUCUUCGGACCUUGCGCGAUUGAAUGAGCCGAUGUCGGAUUAGCUAGUUGGCGGGGUAAAGGCCCACCAAGGCGACGAUCCGUAGCUGGUCUGAGAGGAUGAUCAGCCACACUGGAACUGAGACACGGUCAAGACUCCUAAGGGAGGCAGCAGUGGGGAAUAUUGGAAAAUGGGCGCAAGCCUGAUCAAGCCAUACCGCGUGGGUGAAGAAGGCCUUCGGGUUGUAAAGCCCUUUUGUUGGGAAAGAAAAGCAGCAGGUUAAUACCCCGCUGUUCUGACGGUACCUAAAGAAUAAGCACCGGCUAACUUCGUG